AAGAACGCAGCUCUCAUUCUUCUUCUCAAAGACAACCAAAUUAGACCCUAAAUCGCUAAAAAUUCAAGCGAGUGUGCCUCGAUCUUGCCUCACGCGUUUUCCUUCUCUUCUCAUCACCAUAUUUGUAACAAUCUCUAACAGAUUCUCCCGCCCCAUCCCUUUCUCACGUGUUGGAAGCCUCUAGAAAGCAUAUGCUAGAUGAAUGUGGAGCAUGGGAUCGAUCCCAGCCCUUCAUUCAUCAGGUUGGUGACUGAUAAGUAGAGAGAACUUUGGAGGAUUUUUCAGAGAGAGGAUGGAGAGAAAAGGGCCAAGAGAGCGAGAUUUCUUAUCUCGAUUUUGUCUUCUGAUUUCUCGUGUUCGUUUGAUUGAUACAGAACCUUCAUUUUGAAUUUUCUUUUAGUUUCAAUUCCCGAAAAAUAAAAAAGGAUACAAAAGAAACAUAGUGGUUCGAUUUCUCUUGCACCUUUACUCCUCCAUUUUAUUUUGCUCUGGAUUUCUGGUGUCAAGUAUGGAAUUCGAGUGAGUCGUUUGGCGAUUUGUCCGAUCGAGGCUCGUUCAAGGUUGUUGGCUUCUUUUGCUUGGCUGCUGCGUGAUGCGAGUUUUCACUGCCAAAGUCCCUUUUAUUUUUGCCUAUGAAAUUAAUUGAAAUUUUGUGCAUCCAGGUUUAUUUCCUCUCCUGUACUACUUUGUUUAUAUGGUUUAAAACAUGGUUAGGAGAUUCAGGAUUGUUUGAGCUAAGAUUUAUGUGAUGUCGAUGUGAUAAGACGCAUUUUGAUAACUUUAUAGCUGGUAAAGCAUGAAUAUGCGACGCCUUUUAUUCUUCAAUGCUUGUUGUCUGUCCGGUAGUUUUUGAUUUGUUUGGAUUAAAGCGUGACUAGUUGUGUAUCGAUUAGCUGAAUUUAAUUCUGGUGACAUGCUCUUCGUGAUCUUUUAUGGUUGUUUAGUUUGCCCUUCUCAGCUGGAGCCUGAAAUAGGGCUGAAACGAGUGAUAUUUUUCUGCCUAGUGAAGGCCUGAUGCUCUAAAUUGGUUGCUGCCCCUUACCUUGUUUAUGUCCUUGUGCUAACUGAUAGUUCUGUUUGAUUUUUGUUCUUCCUUGAAUAGAAUUUGUUGGCAUCUCUUCUCAGCUUGCUUAGUUUAGUCUUGCUCUCCGUUUGUGAUUUAGAGUUGUAACUGUAAAGGAGAAAAACAGUUGGUGCUGGAAUUCAUGUGUCACAGCUAGAGUAAUUGCGAACAUUAACCGUUUGGUGUAAAUCCUAUGUGUUUGAGUUGAUAUUUUUGUAAACAUGAAAGUUUAAGCUUCAUGUUAUACCUUUCUAUUGCUGAAUCUGUCCUAAGUUUUGGCUAUGUUUUACAUUUGAAAUUAUCAGAACAUUGGUUCGAGCACUUGGUAUCCACUGAUUGUCUGUUCUACUCCCUAUUCAUUGUUUUCAAAUUGUGAGUGUGUCAUUCCGCUGUACUCAGCAUGAGCCACAAGAUUCAGGGCUUGUUUAAUGGUUCAGGAAAACCAUCAAGCUGUAUCAAGAAUGUGUGGUUGGUCCAGGAUGACCCUCAUUGCUAGCCUUGAUAUUCUCUUUUUGGAAAUUUAGCAUAUAGCUAGUCAUUGGUUGUGUUAAGCCUAACCUCGGUGUAAUUUGUUCAAGUAUCCUGAUGAGAAUCAGUUCACAGGAGAUUUUUGUGCUAUCUAUAAACUAAUACCUGUCCUGGAUUCUUUGUGAUUUAGUUGCUAAAUUCCAUUUCUUAUGAUAAGUUGAGUUAGUUUUGGUAUCAAGGAGACGUAAUACUCAUUAAGUUCAGAAUGUCAGUCCACGACUUGGUAGACUUUCAUCCAAAUCUCAUUGAAUUUUAUUUAUGUGACGUGGUAUGAGACAUGUUGCAAUGACGGAGUUGAAAUGUGUCAAAAAUCGCGAAUGCAUUUAUGUGACGUGGUUCGAGACAUGUUGCAACGACAUUACAAUUUCCUUUAAAAGAUAAUAAUAAAAGCGGUUGAAGGUUAAAAAGCUCAUAAAUCAAAACAUGAUCUAGAACCAGAUAAUUUAAGCCAAAUAUGACAGUAAGUUUUAUUAUUUUGAAAAUUGGUUUGGGCUAUCCAAGUCGAGCAGCAUUUGAAUUAGGAGGUCUUCGUCUUAUUCAAAUAUGGACUUGAACAUG
This 2149-nucleotide long non-coding RNA is filed under the name Nicotiana benthamiana. RNAcentral's name for it is "long non-coding RNA (NBEN_LNC023306)". The record is from RNAcentral. Lineage: Eukaryota; Viridiplantae; Streptophyta; Magnoliopsida; Solanales; Solanaceae.